GGUGUGACGCUGCAGAGAGUGUCUCCCUAAACUCAUGGAGAACCAAAACACAUGGCAAAUCUUCCACGGGGUUAGAGAAAAAGCUAUUCAUCCUGCCACCUGACACUUCCCUGUCCACUCAGAAUUGGCUCUUCAGAGACAAGAGAAAAAUCAGAAGGGCCAUCAAAUGUACUACUGUAUUUGCCAAGGAAGAACCCCAUCAAAAUAUCAGACAAAAGAACAACCAAGAUACCACAGUGAAAUAAAGUAUAAUAAAAAAAAUAUUCUUCACGCAUACACAAG
Mauremys reevesii (Reeves's turtle) is the source of this 282-nucleotide long non-coding RNA. RefSeq lists it as uncharacterized. Lineage: Eukaryota; Metazoa; Chordata; Testudines; Geoemydidae. The record is from RefSeq and is a predicted model, not a curated record. The transcript is spliced from 3 exons.